RNA transcript from Xenia sp. Carnegie-2017, 891 nucleotides. RefSeq lists it as uncharacterized. The record is from RefSeq and is a predicted model, not a curated record. The transcript is spliced from 5 exons. Lineage: Eukaryota; Metazoa; Cnidaria; Anthozoa; Malacalcyonacea; Xeniidae.
UCAACGGAGUUGUCGAGCACAUGCGUUUAACCGUUCUCUUGGCUAACCCUUUUCAAUUGGUCAUCGCUGAACACUGCCGUCUUUCCAACUUUGUUGAAGGAAAAAAGGUUUAAAAAAGGUAUCGUAAGAAACUAAAAGAUUUUAUCAUGGCAAGUGGAGCUUCCCGAGUAGGAAUCAUGGUAUUGUCUAUUGCACAAAUUGUAUUUUUAAUCUCGGCCCUUGGCUCUGUGGGAUUUUUCUUGAAUGAAUUGAACGCAGCUUUCGAGAAAGUCAAAAGUGGAGCACCAGGUCAAGUUGCUCAACUUCUUAGCCUUUUUCUGACUGGACUCUACGGGCGUGAAGAAUUCUUCCUCUGCUCGGCCUCUGUCGCACUUGUUGUUGCCUUGUGUUCGUUGAUCAUUGGGAUAACACGGUCUCACAAUAAAGCACCAUGCGCCGCAUUUAUGAUUGCCUCGCACGUAGUACUGCUGCUUUUUCUGGUUGUAUCUUCGUCACUUCUGGCAAAACAGAAACAACCUACCACAGUAAAUCAAUAUGUGACGUCUUAGAUGAUGGAAAUGACACUGACGCUCGAUGCUAUCAGCUGAUAAUUGGAGUGGCUUCGGGUUUUCUAUCUGUUGCGUUGUUCAUUGGUAGUACAGUCAUUUACUGUGCAUCCUUAUCCCAGAUGGUUGGCAUUUCUUUCAUCAACAUGGAUAGCUAUUCCAGUUAAGCAUGAUGCAGAAGGUCAAAUAAGCAUGGCUUUCUAGAGGAGUGGUGUUGUUAUUUGUUUUCUUAUUUGUGUUUGCCAGAUUAUGGACAAAUAAAGACAUUUUUUAUUAAUCACAUUUUUAAAUUUGCAAGGCAUUUCUCCGUGUAGAUGUAUAAAAUAUAUGUAUUUCCAUGAGUAAA